Molecule: ribosomal RNA, 407 nt
Filed under: bacterium enrichment culture clone ALO1_GLFRUDD03GV5KU
Lineage: Bacteria
Description: bacterial SSU rRNA
Rfam family: Bacterial small subunit ribosomal RNA
Source: RNAcentral
GAGUUUGAUCAUGGCUCAGAUUGAACGCUGGCGGCAUGCCUUACACAUGCAAGUCGAACGGCAGCACGGGAGCUUGCUCCUGGUGGCGAGUGGCGAACGGGUGAGUAAUGCAUCGGAACGUAUCCUGGAGUGGGGAUAACGUAGCGAAAGUUACGCUAAUACCGCAUAUUCUGUGAGCAGGAAAGCGGGGGACCUUCGGGCCUCGCGCUCUUGGAGCGGCCGACGUCGGAUUAGCUAGUUGGUGAGGUAAAGGCUCACCAAGGCGACGAUCCGUAGCAGGUCUGAGAGGAUGAUCUGCCACACUGGAACUGAGACACGGUCCAGACUCCUACGGGAGGCAGCAGUGGGGAAUUUUGGACAAUGGGGGCAACCCUGAUCCAGCCAUGCCGCGUGAGUGAAGAAGGCCU